RNAcentral lists this ribosomal RNA (396 nucleotides) under Theileria bicornis. Its description in RNAcentral is "partial 18S ribosomal RNA". It matches the Rfam family "Eukaryotic small subunit ribosomal RNA", at positions 637 to 1056 of the family's 1831-position model. Lineage: Eukaryota; Apicomplexa; Aconoidasida; Piroplasmida; Theileriidae. The record is from RNAcentral.
AAUUUCUGCUGCUUCGCUUUCGUCCCUUUAUUGGUUUCGUUUGCGUUGUGGCUUUUUUCUGGUUGAUUGGCUUCGGCUUUUUUUCCAGAUUUUUUUACUUUGAGAAAAUUAGAGUGCUUCAAGCAGGCUUUUGCCUUGAAUACUUUAGCAUGGAAUAAUAAAGUAGGACUUUGGUUCUAUUUUGUUGGUUUUCGAACCAAAGUAAUGGUUAAUAGGAACAGUUGGGGGCAUUCGUAUUUAACUGUCAGAGGUGAAAUUCUUAGAUUUGUUAAAGACGAACUACUGCGAAAGCAUUUGCCAAGGAUGUUUUCAUUAAUCAAGAACGAAAGUUAGGGGAUCGAAGACGAUCAGAUACCGUCGUAGUCCUAACCAUAAACUAUGCCGACUAGAGAUUGG